This 301-nucleotide ribosomal RNA is filed under the name uncultured bacterium. RNAcentral describes it as "partial 16S ribosomal RNA". It matches the Rfam family "Bacterial small subunit ribosomal RNA", at positions 509 to 807 of the family's 1533-position model. The record is from RNAcentral.
CAGUCGCCGCGGUAAAACGUAGGGUGCAAGCGUUAAUCGGAAUUACUGGGCGUAAAGCGGGCGCAGACGGUUACUUAAGCAGGAUGUGAAAUCCCCGGGCUCAACCUGGGAACUGCGUUCUGAACUGGGUGACUAGAGUGUGUCAGAGGGAGGUAGAAUUCCACGUGUAGCAGUGAAAUGCGUAGAGAUGUGGAGGAAUACCGAUGGCGAAGGCAGCCUCCUGGGAUAACACUGACGUUCAUGCCCGAAAGCGUGGGUAGCAAACAGGAUUAGAUACCCCAGUAGUCCCUGUCUCUUAUAC